AGUUUUGCGCAGCGGCAGUAUCAUAGCCAAUGAGGUUUAUCCAAGGUGCAAUUAUUGCUAAUUGAAAACAGUAAAUAUAGUGUUUGCUAGUGUGUAUUUGGCUUUUUCAAUGCAAUAAUGAGAAAAUGCUCUUACAU
Small nuclear RNA from Octodon degus (degu), 137 nucleotides. Its record names the gene U4. It matches the Rfam family "U4 spliceosomal RNA". From Rfam's summary of the family: U4 small nuclear RNA (U4 snRNA) is a component of the major U2-dependent spliceosome. The structure of U4 snRNA from yeast and human has been reported. The record is from Ensembl. NCBI's taxonomy places the organism in Eukaryota, Metazoa, Chordata, Mammalia, Rodentia, Octodontidae.